Molecule: ribosomal RNA, 639 nt
Filed under: uncultured bacterium
Lineage: Bacteria
Description: bacterial SSU rRNA
Rfam family: Bacterial small subunit ribosomal RNA
Source: RNAcentral
UGAGGCGCGAAANCCAGGGGAGCGAACGGGAUUAGAUACCCCGGUAGUCCUGGCNGUAAACGAUGGGUACUAGGUGUAGGAGGUAUCGACCCNUUCUGUGCCGGAGUUAACGCAAUAGGUACCCCNCCUGGGGAGUACGACCGCAAGGUUGAAACUCAAAGGAAUUGACGGGGGCCCGCACAAGCGGUGGAGUAUGUGGUUUAAUUCGACGCAACGCGAAGAACCUUACCAGGUCUUGACAUUGAUGGACAGAACCAGAGAUGGUUCNUCUUCUUCGGAAGCCAGAAAACAGGUGGUGCACGGUUGUCGUCAGCUCGUGUCGUGAGAUGUUGGGUUAAGUCCCGCAACGAGCGCAAUCCCUAUCUUAUGUUGCCAGCACUUUGGGUGGGGACUCAUGAGAGACUGCCGCAGACAAUGCGGAGGAAGGCGGGGAUGACGUCAAAUCAUCAUGCCCCUUAUGACCUGGGCUACACACGUACUACAAUGGGAGUUAAUAGACGGAAGCGAGAUCGCGAGAUGGAGCAAACCCGAGAAACACUCUCUCAGUUCGGAUCGUAGGCUGCAACUCGCCUACGUGAAGUCGGAAUCGCUAGUAAUCGCAGGUCAGCAUACUGCGGUGAAUACGUUCCCGGGCCUUNU